Molecule: ribosomal RNA, 447 nt
Filed under: uncultured bacterium
Lineage: Bacteria
Description: bacterial SSU rRNA
Rfam family: Bacterial small subunit ribosomal RNA
Source: RNAcentral
UAGGGAAUUUUCCACAAUGGACGAAAGUCUGACCCAGCAACGCCGCGUGAAGGAUGAAGUAUUUCGGUAUGUAAACUUCGAAAGAAUAGGAAGAAUAAAUGACGGUACUAUUUAUAAGGUCCGGCUAACUACGUGCCAGCAGCCGCGGUAAUACGUAGGGACCAAGCGUUGUUCGGAUUUACUGGGCGUAAAGGGCGCGUAGGCGGCAAUUCAAGUCAUCUGUGAAAUCUCCGGGCUUAACUCGGAACUGCCAAGUGAUACUGAUGUGCUAGAGUGCAGAAAGGGCAACUGGAAUUCUUGGUGUAGAGGUGAAAUUCGUAGAUAUUAGGAAGAACACCGGUGGCGAAGGCGGCUCACUGGAUCGGUACUGACGCUGAGGUGCGAAAGCGUGGGGAGCAAACAGGAUUAGAUACCCGUGUAGUCCCUGAGCGGGCUGGCAAGGCGCAU